UGCUUAUAAUAUUAUUUUAAGUAAAAUCUGCUCCAUGUAUUAUAAAUAGCCGCAGUACUUUACUGUGCUAAGGUAGCAUAAUCAUUAACCUUUUAAUUAAAGGCUAGAAUGAACGAUUUUACAUUUAAUUAUUUUUUCUUUUACAACAAUUUAAUUUAUACUAAGUAUAAAAAUAUACUUAUAAAAAAAAAAGACGAUAAGACCCUAUUGAACUUCACUUUAGUUUAGCUGGGGAAGCUAAUUAAAAACUAUUUUAAUCUUACUUAUUUUAAAAUAAACCAAUAAAAUUGAUUUUAAUAAGUUACCAUAGGGAUAACAGCGUAAUAUUUUUUAAAAGCUCUUAUUUAAAAAAAAGAUUGCGACCUCGAUGUUGAAUUAAUUUAACUUUAAGACGCAACUGCAUUAAAAGUAGGUCUGUUCGACCUUUAAAUAUUUACA
RNAcentral lists this ribosomal RNA (438 nucleotides) under Microlinyphia dana. RNAcentral describes it as "partial 16S ribosomal RNA". Lineage: Eukaryota; Metazoa; Arthropoda; Arachnida; Araneae; Linyphiidae. The record is from RNAcentral.